CUCUCCUUCUCCAUCCUAGCUGUCAUCUUCACAACCAUCUCCUCUCCUUCUCCUUCUCCUUCUGCUAAAAACCUCCUUCCAUCAAUCUCCUCCAUCUCAUUCUCGGCCAAUGGCUUCGAAGAUGCAUCUUCCCCAAUGCCAAAAAGUAAGUAGAAGUCAAGAAAGCAGAGGAAGGGAAGAGUAGCAACCGAAGCACCAUCACCUCCUCCUCCUCCU
RNAcentral lists this long non-coding RNA (216 nucleotides) under Elaeis guineensis (African oil palm). Its description in RNAcentral is "long non-coding RNA (EGUI_LNC033360)". The record is from RNAcentral. Lineage: Eukaryota; Viridiplantae; Streptophyta; Magnoliopsida; Arecales; Arecaceae.